GCGUGCGUAGCUCAACGGAUAGAGCAUCUGACUACGGAUCAGAAGGUUGGGGGUUCGAAUCCCUUCGCGCGCACCA
Molecule: transfer RNA, 76 nt
Filed under: Vibrio cholerae
Lineage: Bacteria; Pseudomonadati; Pseudomonadota; Gammaproteobacteria; Vibrionales; Vibrionaceae
Also listed under: 108 other names
Description: tRNA-Arg
Rfam family: tRNA
About the family: Transfer RNA (tRNA) molecules are approximately 80 nucleotides in length.
Source: RNAcentral